GACGAACGCUGGCGGCGUGCUUAACACAUGCAAGUCGAACGGAAAGGCCCUGCUUUUGUGGGGUGCGCGAGUGGCGAACGGGGGAGUAACACGUGAGUAACCUGCCCUUGACUGUGGGAUAACUUCGGGAAACUGGGGCUAAUACCGGAUAGGAGCUCCUGCUGCACGGUGGGGGUGGGAAAGUGUCGGCGGUGUGGGAUGGACUCGCGGCUUAUCAGCUUGUUGGUGGGGUAGUGGCUUACCGAGGCUUUGACGGGUAGCCGGCCUGAGAGGGUGACCGGCCACAUUGGCACUGAGGUGCGGGCCAGACUCCUACGGGGGGCAGCAGUGGGGGAUAUUGCACGAUGGGCGGAGGCCUGAUGCAGCAACGCCGCGUGCGGGAUGACGGCCUUCGGGUUGUAAACCGCUUUCGCCUGUGACGAAGCGUGAGUGACGGUAAUGGGUAAAGAAGCACCGGCUAACUACGUG
Molecule: ribosomal RNA, 468 nt
Filed under: uncultured bacterium
Lineage: Bacteria
Description: partial 16S ribosomal RNA
Rfam family: Bacterial small subunit ribosomal RNA
Source: RNAcentral